CAGCGAAGACGAAAUUUACACUGAUGAACAGUUUCAUGAUUUAUUCUGACAUUCUGACGAUUACAAGUCAGAGUUUGAUGGACUUGUAUAGGUCAAACAAUGUUUGUGCUAUUUUGGAGGACAUGAAUAAGAAUUUCCAGUAAUAAAUUUAAGGGAUUCGUUACAGUUAAUAAACAAAAUGUUCCUGUUCAUCCAGUUUUUAGC
Molecule: non-coding RNA, 204 nt
Organism: Pelobates cultripes (western spadefoot toad)
Lineage: Eukaryota; Metazoa; Chordata; Amphibia; Anura; Pelobatidae
Source: the annotation of a GenBank genome assembly